RNAcentral lists this ribosomal RNA (405 nucleotides) under Fusobacteriota bacterium. RNAcentral describes it as "Fusobacteria bacterium partial 16S ribosomal RNA". It matches the Rfam family "Bacterial small subunit ribosomal RNA", at positions 355 to 777 of the family's 1533-position model. The record is from RNAcentral. Lineage: Bacteria; Fusobacteriati; Fusobacteriota.
UGGGGAAUAUUGCACAAUGGAGGGAACUCUGAUGCAGCGACGCCGCGUGAGUGAUGAAGGAAUUCGUUUCGUAAAACUCUGUUCUAUGGGAAGAAAAGGACUGUACCAUAGGAGAAAGCUCCGGCUAAAUACGUGCCAGCAGCCGCGGUAAUACGUAUGGAGCGAGCGUUGUCCGGAAUUAUUGGGCGUAAAGGGUGCGCAGGCGGCUUUACAAGUUGGAUGUGAAAUAUUGUGGCUCAACCACAAACGUGCAUCCAAAACUGCAAAGCUUGAGUUAAGGAGAGGUAAGUGGAAUUCCUGGUGUAGCGGUGGAAUGCGUAGAUAUCAGGAGGAAUACCGGUGGCGAAGGCGACUUACUGGACUUAAACUGACGCUCAGGCACGAAAGCGUGGGGAGCAAACAGGA